GAGGAAAUGAUCCUAAAAGGAUAAAGAAAAUUGGGGCUAAAGUUCCCUGCUCACCUCCUAACAGAGAUUGAGCAGGUAUCUGUGAAAACAUCCUUUAAAAAAGCAGUUAGUUUUCCAUGUCAUGAUGGCUGCUCCUGAAGAAGUUAAAAUGUGCUGGUGUUGGCUCAGGAGUGAUCGUCACCCACAGGAAAUUAACUGGAGGAAGAUUCUAGGAGGCUCAGUGCUAUGCAGGAGCCUGUUACCACAGCCACCAAUAAGCUAACAGCGGAAGCUGCUGCCUAAAACUAUUCUUUUUAACAUCCAAGAUUUUGAAAAUAGUUCAUCCUUUCACUAUGCUAUUAAUAAAAAUUCAUAAUACAAUUUCAUUCUCAAUUUAUCCAAUAUUUUAGGGUAUGGUAGAUAAUGGCAGUCCUUUAGAAUUGGUUAUCCUUUUAUUCUUCAUCUGUAGCUGUUUAUGUGAUGGUAAAAACUUGCUCAUGUUAGGUAGGGCAUAUAUGAUUACUUCUUCUGUCUGAAUAAGAAUAUUUUAAGUCAUUUGCUACAGAGAAAGAAAGAUCAUCAAGUGUCAUUCCUGAGCUAUAGGGCAACAUGAAGUAAUUUGCUGAAUUGUUUAUUAACAUUAUUGCCACUGUUAUGACUGGAUGAAAGAACAGAUACUCAUUCUUGACAGCCCUUGAUGGGGUUUAUGGAUGAAGUACAUGUGUCAGUACAUCCCAGAGUCUUGUAUAACUUUAGACUCUACUGUUCUUUAUCACAACCUGACUUGUAUUAACCAAUAUUUAUGGAAAACUACUUAAAGUCCAUGUCAGAUGAUUUUAUUACAGACUUCCCCCGCUUCUCUGGAAGUAU
Molecule: long non-coding RNA, 849 nt
Filed under: Homo sapiens (human)
Lineage: Eukaryota; Metazoa; Chordata; Mammalia; Primates; Hominidae
Description: HSALNT0075088
Source: RNAcentral